UUUCCAAGAUGAAUUUAUCAAUAUAAAAAGUUAUGUGCUUUAGACGAGUGUUUAGUGUAAAUGAGAAGAUUGAAAAUAAACAUCUAUAAAGAAAACUUGCUCAUUAUAUUCACAAGUCUACCCAUCGACAAAACUUAUUUUUUGGGUCUUAUUGAAAGGAAACCUGAAACUGAUUCCUCUCAAUACACCAGUAGUAUAAUGAACAGUACUGUACGCAGAGCCGGCAUUGUUAGACUGAUCCAUUCAGUGUCAUAUAACCCAAAUCUAUUGCUUUGAUAAAUUGAUAUCUUUAUCAGAAAUUUAUUAUGUAAAAUGUAAGGUCAAUUUAUAUAUUCUGACAAAUGAUACCCAUUAUUAUUAUCUAUAAAUGGCGAUAAAUGAGAAUGUUAUAGAAUAAAAUAUAUUUUGAA
Molecule: long non-coding RNA, 410 nt
Organism: Eurytemora carolleeae
Lineage: Eukaryota; Metazoa; Arthropoda; Copepoda; Calanoida; Temoridae
Exons: 2
Source: RefSeq, a predicted model, not a curated record